CGGACGGGUGAGUAACGCGUGAGGAACCUGCCUCAGAGUGGGGGAUAACACACCGAAAGGUGUGCUAAUACCGCAUAACAUAUGGAGGGGCANCCCUUUCAUAUCAAAGAUUUAUUGCUCUGAGAUGGCCUCGCGUCCAAUUAGCUAGUUGGCGGGGUAACGGCCCACCAAGGCGACGAUUGGUAGCCGGACUGAGAGGUUGAACGGCCACAUUGGGACUGAGACACGGCCCAGACUCCUACGGAAGGCAGCAG
RNAcentral lists this ribosomal RNA (254 nucleotides) under uncultured bacterium. RNAcentral describes it as "partial 16S ribosomal RNA". It matches the Rfam family "Bacterial small subunit ribosomal RNA", at positions 99 to 354 of the family's 1533-position model. The record is from RNAcentral.